UCACCAAGGUACUUCAGCACAAGCUUCAUUUUAAAUACAGGACUAUCACUGGCUUCCACAGCAUUGCUGCAGUGCUUCCAGUUGUGGAAAUGCUGAAGCACCUGCCCAGACUGGAGUGUGAAAUACUGAUAAGAGAGAAAAUACUUUUACAGCAAGAGCUUGGCUUACAGCUGUUUGGAAAUGCCAAAAAGAAGAGCUCCCCAGACCUGGCAGCUCUAAACUGGGGGAAGAACUCUGUCAGUGGCCAGGAUGAGAAAAGGUCCUUGCAAGGGUCAAGCUUAAAAGGGAGCAAGAAGAGUGAGGUGAAGGCAAAACAGAAACCAGUAUCACCAGUUUAAUGGAGAUGUUCAGCUCAUCUUCCAGAGACUACUGGUAGAGAAGCAACCUUCAUUCUUCAAAAACCAAGUGAGGGGUUCCCAGCGUGGGCAGGAGAGGCUGAAGAGCAGAAGGGCUGAGGAGAGGACACCUGGAGCUCUGUGCAGCAGGAAAGACAAGGAGAGGGCAGCCCUGGAGCCUGGCUCCCACAGCUGAUCCCAGGUUUAGAACAUCAGAUGACUCCUAGCAGAUGUGAAAUGCUUCUAGAAGCCAAACAGUGGUUCUGUUCAUGCCCUUUGGACCACUCUCUUGAUGAAAUGGCCCCCAGGACCUGUCCCAGCUCUCCCUGGGUACUUCUACACCAGCAAACUCCAGAGGCCCCUGAGCUCAGAGAUGUGGAG
Lonchura striata (white-rumped munia) is the source of this 716-nucleotide non-coding RNA. Lineage: Eukaryota; Metazoa; Chordata; Aves; Passeriformes; Estrildidae. The record is from RefSeq and is a predicted model, not a curated record.